AGAGUACGUGAAACCGUUUAGGGGUAAACCUGAGAAACCCGAAAGGUCGAAGGGAGAAAUUCACCGCGGUUCGACGAAGAUGAUUAGUUACGGCGAGUGAUCGCGCUCUUCGGACGCGCGGCGCCGCCGUUUCUUUUUUUUCGACGACGAACGCGUGCACUUUUCUCCCGGUAGGACGUCGCGAUCCGUUGGGCGUCGGUCUACGGCUGACGGUGGAGACCGCGAGUCGUUUUUCGGAACGUACUCGCGGACCCGUUUGCACCCCGACCGACUCGCUCGACGGUAUACGAACGGUUUGGGGCCGCUUUUAAAGCGUUCGACUCCGGCCCUUCGCGGGCCGCGAAGUUCUCGGACAGACCCUAUUCGAAAAACCGAUCUGCGACGCUAUAGCUUUGGGUACUUUCAGG
RNAcentral lists this ribosomal RNA (407 nucleotides) under Scolytus quadrispinosus. RNAcentral's name for it is "eukaryotic LSU rRNA". Lineage: Eukaryota; Metazoa; Arthropoda; Insecta; Coleoptera; Curculionidae. The record is from RNAcentral.